GCACCCGUAGCUCAGCUGGAUAGAGCGCUGCCCUCCGAAGGCAGAGGUCACUGGUUCGAAUCCAGUCGGGUGCA
Non-coding RNA from Sphingorhabdus sp. M41, 74 nucleotides. The record is from Rfam. NCBI's taxonomy places the organism in Bacteria, Pseudomonadati, Pseudomonadota, Alphaproteobacteria, Sphingomonadales, Sphingorhabdaceae.